Molecule: ribosomal RNA, 207 nt
Filed under: uncultured bacterium
Lineage: Bacteria
Description: partial 16S ribosomal RNA
Rfam family: Bacterial small subunit ribosomal RNA
Source: RNAcentral
CGCGUAGGCGGCUUUUUAAGUUAGGAGUGAAAGUCCUGCUUUCAAGGUGGGAAUUGCUUUUAAUACUGGAAAGCUUGAGUGCAGAAGAGGUAAGUGGAAUUCCCAGUGUAGCGGUGAAAUGCGUAGAGAUUGGGAAGAACACCAGUGGCGAAGGCGACUUACUGGGCUGUAACUGACGCUGAGGCGCGAAAGCGUGGGGAGCAAACA